This 379-nucleotide RNase P RNA is filed under the name Actinophytocola gossypii. Its description in RNAcentral is "RNase P RNA component class A". It matches the Rfam family "Bacterial RNase P class A". From Rfam's summary of the family: Ribonuclease P (RNase P) is a ubiquitous endoribonuclease, found in archaea, bacteria and eukarya as well as chloroplasts and mitochondria. Its best characterised activity is the generation of mature 5'-ends of tRNAs by cleaving the 5'-leader elements of precursor-tRNAs. Lineage: Bacteria; Bacillati; Actinomycetota; Actinomycetes; Pseudonocardiales; Pseudonocardiaceae. The record is from RNAcentral.
CGAGUCGGCAGGGCGGUCGCGGCGGAGAACCCGUCGAGGAAAGUCCGGACUCCGCAGGGCAGGGUGGUUGCUAACGGCAACCCGGGGCGACCCGCGGGACAGUGCCACAGAAAGCAGACCGCCUGGCGGUCACGCCAGGUAAGGGUGAAACGGUGGUGUAAGAGACCACCAGCACCCCGGGUGACCGGGGUGGCUCGGUAAACCCCACCCGGAGCAAGGUCAAGAGGGAGUCGAGAGGCUCCUGCGCAGGCGUUCGAGGGCGGCCCGUCCGAGUCUGCGGGUAGACCGCUAGAGCCCGCCGGCGACGGCGGGCCCAGAUGGAUGGCCGCCACCGGCGCACGCGCCGGUACAGGAUCCGGCUUACACGCCGACUCGUCCG